CAUGGAUGUUGGUGCCCCCUGGAAUGUGAGAACCGUUGGGAGAAAGAAGAAGAGCAUGUUACAGCAGAAAGAGAAGAGUCCUGUAUUCAGGAAAGCACAGAUAGAAACUCAGAAAGAUCGACGUGCCCAGAAAAUCAGUGUUCUGAAAGGCCACUUGUCGAGUGGCAUUUCUAGUUUGCUCCCUGAAUUUUCAGAAGAGACUACUGAAUUAACUAAUAAAAGAGAAUGAAUCAUUCAGAGGGAAUGAUCAGUUCUACCAAAGUCCAGGCAUCCAGCAAAGAGGAAACCAAGCUAAUUGGAAAAUAAAUUGGCAAAAUUCUGAAUUAUGGCUCUGUUGUUAUUUGUCUGAGUUGGGCUAAUUAUUGGUAUCUUAAUAGACUUCUCGUUUGGGUGCAUGUGUCAGCAGGUGAAUAUAUUAGUGGAACUUGGCUUUUUGGAUGAGAAACUAGAUGUCCUGAAUGCAAAUAUAUUUCAUUUGCUUAUUCCACUGAGGAAACUGCCACUUAAAGCAAAAAGAUAUAAAGAUAUAGUCAAUCCAACUACAUUUCCAGAUAUUCCAAAGGUUUUCAUAACCCUUUGUCAGCACUUUGCCUGCCUUGUGCCAGGUAUGUAAUCACUAUGGUUUGGUAAGAGGGAGGCACCGUCACCUCCAUUCUGGUCUCCUCACCUUCAAACUCACAUUUGGUGAAAGGCAGAUGGCAUGAGGCAAUAAAGGUGCCUGAAUAAGAAUUGUACAUGAAAGGAGUAGUAAACGAUCUCCCAGCGAGCUGUGCUUUUGUCUGACCUGGUCAUUUUCCCAGCCUUCCCCCUGCCUGGAAUGCCCUUCCCCUCCCUGCCCCUCUUCCUAUCCGCUCUCCAGGGUCAGUUUGGGGGCCUUGCCUUGGGGGCUUUCCUUGACAUCACUCCACACCGUGUCCCUCGUCCAGCUCAUGCCCAUCUGUCUCCC
This 946-nucleotide long non-coding RNA is filed under the name Heterocephalus glaber (naked mole-rat). RNAcentral describes it as "lncRNA (ENSHGLG00000027948.2)". Lineage: Eukaryota; Metazoa; Chordata; Mammalia; Rodentia; Bathyergidae. The record is from RNAcentral.